ACUCAAAUGAAUAGACGGGGACCCGCACAAGCGGUGGAGCAUGUGGUUUAAUUCGACGCAACGCGAAGAACCUUACCUGGACUAGAAUGUGAGGGGAUAUCGGGUAAUGCCGGUAGUCCGGGAAACCGGACCCAAAACAAGGUGCUGCAUGGCUGUCGUCAGCUCGUGUCGUGAGAUGUUGGGUUAAGUCCCGCAACGAGCGCAACCCUUAUCAACAGUUGCCAUCAUUAAGUUGGGAACUCUGUUGAGACUGCCGUUGAUAAAACGGAGGAAGGUGGGGAUGAUGUCAAGUCAUCAUGGACUUUAUGUUCAGGGCUACACACGUGCUACAAUGGAAGGUACAAAACGUCGCAAUCCCGCAAGGGGGAGCUAAUCGCGAAAACCUUCCUCAGUUCGGAUUGGAGUCUGCAACUCGACUCCAUGAAGUUGGAAUCGCUAGUAAUCGCAAAUCAGCAUGUUGCGGUGAAUACGUUCCCGGGUCUUGUACACACCGCCCGU
RNAcentral lists this ribosomal RNA (498 nucleotides) under uncultured bacterium. RNAcentral's name for it is "partial 16S ribosomal RNA". It matches the Rfam family "Bacterial small subunit ribosomal RNA", at positions 899 to 1397 of the family's 1533-position model. The record is from RNAcentral.